This 442-nucleotide ribosomal RNA is filed under the name uncultured Thauera sp. Its description in RNAcentral is "bacterial SSU rRNA". It matches the Rfam family "Bacterial small subunit ribosomal RNA", at positions 940 to 1382 of the family's 1533-position model. The record is from RNAcentral. Lineage: Bacteria; Pseudomonadati; Pseudomonadota; Betaproteobacteria; Rhodocyclales; Zoogloeaceae.
UGUGGAUUAAUUCGAUGCAACGCGAAAACCUUACUACCCUUGACAUGUCUGGAACCUUGGUGAGAGCCGAGGGUGCCUUCGGGAGCCAGAACGACAGGUGCUGCAUGGCUGUCGUCAGCUCGUGUCGUGAGAUGUUGGGUUAAGUCCCGCAACGAGCGCAACCCUUGUCACUAGUUGCCAUCAUUUGGUUGGGCACUCGUAGUGAGACUGCCGGUGACAAACCGGGAGGAAGGUGGGGAUGACGUCAAGUCCUCAUGGCCCUUAUGGGUAGGGCUUCACACGUCAUACAAUGGUCGGUACAGAGGGUUGCCAAGCCGCGAGGUGGAGCCAAUCCCUUAAAGCCGAUCGUAGUCCGGAUCGUAGUCUGCAACUCGACUACGUGAAGUCGGAAUCGCUAGUAAUCGCAGGUCAGCAUACUGCGGUGAAUACGUUCCCGGGUCUU